GGGUCAGUAGGUUGGUCGUGCCACCGUUUCGUACUGGUCUCACUGAUUCCUCCUUCCUGAAGAACCGUAAUGCCAUUAAUUUGGUGUUGCGGGGAAACAGGACUGUUACUUUGAAAAAAUUAGAGUGUUUAAAGCAAGCUAACGCUUGAAUACAUUAGCAUGGAAUAAUGAAAUAGGACGAUAGAUCCUCUUUUGUUGGUUUCUAGGAUUGACGUA
Molecule: ribosomal RNA, 216 nt
Filed under: Glomeromycotina sp.
Lineage: Eukaryota; Fungi; Glomeromycota
Description: partial small subunit ribosomal RNA
Rfam family: Eukaryotic small subunit ribosomal RNA (bases 40-216)
Source: RNAcentral